This 340-nucleotide unclassified non-coding RNA is filed under the name soil metagenome. Its description in RNAcentral is "partial contains 5.8S ribosomal RNA, internal transcribed spacer 2, and large subunit ribosomal RNA". The stretch from base 1 to 120 matches the Rfam family "5.8S ribosomal RNA", at positions 35 to 154 of the family's 154-position model. The record is from RNAcentral.
GAUGAAGAACGUAGCGAAAUGCGAUAAGUAGUGUGAAUUGCAGAAUUCAGUGAAUCAUCGAAUCUUUGAACGCACAUUGCGCCCUUUGGUAUUCCAAAGGGCAUGCCUGUUCGAGCGUCAUUUGUACCCUCAAGCUUUGCUUGGUGUUGGCGUCUUGUCUCUAGCUUUGCUGGAGACUCGCCUUAAAGUAAUUGGCAGCCGGCCUACUGGUUUCGGAGCGCAGCACAAGUCGCACUCUCUAUCAGCAAAGGUCUAGCAUCCAUUAAGCCUUUUUUUCAACUUUUGACCUCGGAUCAGGUAGGGAUACCCGCUGCACUUAAGCAUAUCAAUAAGCGGAGGA